GACGGAGGAUGCAAGCGUUAUCCGGAAUUAUUGGGCGUAAAGCGUACGUAGGCGGUUUUAUAAGUCUGUUGUCAAAGCCCGAGGCUUAACCUUGGAAAGGCAAUGGAAACUGUAAGACUAGAGAGAGAUAGGGGCAGGAGGAAUUCCAGGUGUAGCGGUGAAAUGCGUAGAUAUCUGGAAGAACACCAGUGGCGAAAGCGUCCUGCUGGAUCUCAACUGACGCUGAAGUACGAAAGCUAGGGGAGCGAAUGGG
Molecule: ribosomal RNA, 253 nt
Filed under: uncultured bacterium
Lineage: Bacteria
Description: partial 16S ribosomal RNA
Rfam family: Bacterial small subunit ribosomal RNA
Source: RNAcentral